UUCCAGCUCCAGUAGCGUAUAUUAAAGUUGUUGCAGUUAAAAAGCUCGUAGUUGGAUUUCUGGUUUCACAGAACUGGCCUACUUCCUCAAGGUCGUGUGCGCCGUGUUUUGUGUACCAUCCUUCUAGAAAUUGUGUUCCAUCCCUUCACUGGGAUAGAUCCGAGAUCUAGAUCUUUUACUUUGAAGAAAUUAGAGUGUUCAAAGCAGGCUCGCGCUGUGAAUACAUUAGCAUGGAAUAAUAAUUUAGGACUUGGUAUCCUAUUUUGUUGGUUUUCAGGAUCUAAGUAAUGAUUGAUAGGGAUAGUUGGGGGUGCUAGUAUUUUGCGGCCAGAGGUGAAAUUCUGUGAUUCGCGAAAGACUAACUUAUGCGAAAGCAUUCACCAAGGAUGUCUUCAUCG
This 398-nucleotide ribosomal RNA is filed under the name Cercozoa sp. RNAcentral's name for it is "partial small subunit ribosomal RNA". It matches the Rfam family "Eukaryotic small subunit ribosomal RNA", at positions 583 to 975 of the family's 1831-position model. The record is from RNAcentral. Lineage: Eukaryota; Cercozoa.